UACCCUUGACAUGUACGGAACCCUGCAGAGAUGUGGGGGUGCUUGAAAGAGAGCCGUAACACAGGUGCUGCAUGGCUGUCGUCAGCUCGUGUCGUGAGAUGUUGGGUUAAGUCCCGCAACGAGCGCAACCCUUGUCCCUAGUUGCUACGCAAGGGCACUCUAGGGAGACUGCCGGUGACAAACCGGAGGAAGGUGGGGAUGACGUCAAGUCCUCAUGGCCCUUAUGGGUAGGGCUUCACACGUCAUACAAUGGCCGGUACAGAGGGUUGCCAAAGCGCGAGCUGGAGCCAAUCCCCAUAAAAGCCGGUCGUAGUCCGGAUUGCAGUCUGCAACUCGACUGCAUGAAGUCGGAAUCGCUAGUAAUCGCGGAUCAGCAUGUCGCGGUGAAUACGUUCCCGGGUC
Molecule: ribosomal RNA, 402 nt
Filed under: uncultured bacterium
Lineage: Bacteria
Description: bacterial SSU rRNA
Rfam family: Bacterial small subunit ribosomal RNA
Source: RNAcentral